GUUGACAUGGUGGGGAUAUCGCAUGUCGAUCGUCCUUCUCAUGGUGGCGAAAAUUGGAAGCUCCGUCCCACAAAUUAGCGUUGCCAGAGUUCGUACAAUUGUACCAAUUUGAAACAAAUAACAACCAAACUUGUGAUACUAAAGUAUCUAAAGUAAAAAUCUAAAAUUUUGUGAUAUAAGAAAUUUGCUUCAAAUAACAUUAAAUGACGUUUUUUUAAGUUUUUGUACAAAAUGUGUUGGUUUAGUACAUUUUGUGUCAAUAUUCCAGUGCAUGAGUGAAUUUAUAAAAAUUUCUCUGGCAACACCGUCACCUGCCGUGUACCGUGUACUGCUGGCUUCUGGCUUAUCAAAAUAUUCCGUUAAUUUUUUUAAAAUGCCACAUCACGGUUCUUGUGUCGUUUUUGACUGUCAUUUUACAUGGAGAAACAGUGGAAUGAAAUUCUUUCGCUUUCCUACAUCCAAAUAUAGGCAGGAUCAAAGAAAAAAAUGGAUUAAUGCUAUUCGAAGACAAAAAAUAUAAAGGCCAUAAAAUUUGGAAAAGAACAAAGAAGAGUCCAAAUCAUUGGUUAAUGAUAUGUUUUAUAGGGACUAUAUCAUAUAUUUUAAUGAAAGAAAAAAAAUGAGUACUGAACACAAAGCACAAUUAUUACAACCAAAUUCAAGGCAACUUAUAAUUAAUAAAAAGGAAGGUGUGCCACCUAGUGAUCUGGAUGCCUUCAGAAUCGAUCAUAUAUGAUGUCGGUAUUGAAGAAUGCUGGGAACACAAUAUAAAAUUAUUAAAAACAUUUUAUUUGAAUAAAUAAGUAUAUACCAUUUUUAUGUGGAAAUAAAGCACUUUACAAUUA
RNAcentral lists this long non-coding RNA (845 nucleotides) under Diabrotica virgifera virgifera (western corn rootworm). RNAcentral's name for it is "uncharacterized LOC126883091". The record is from RNAcentral. Lineage: Eukaryota; Metazoa; Arthropoda; Insecta; Coleoptera; Chrysomelidae.